Molecule: ribosomal RNA, 468 nt
Filed under: uncultured bacterium
Lineage: Bacteria
Description: partial 16S ribosomal RNA
Rfam family: Bacterial small subunit ribosomal RNA
Source: RNAcentral
GACGAACGCUGGCGGCGUGCUUAACACAUGCAAGUCGAACGGAAAGGCCCUGCUUUUGUGGGGUGCUCGAGUGGCGAACGGGUGAGUAACACGUGAGUAACCUGCCCUUGACUUUGGGAUAACUUCAGGAAACUGGGGCUAAUACCGGAUAGGAGCUCCUGCUGCAUGGUGGGGGUUGGAAAGUUUCGGCGGUUGGGGAUGGACUCGCGGCUUAUCAGCUUGUUGGUGGGGUAGUGGCUUACCAAGGCUUUGACGGGUAGCCGGCCUGAGAGGGUGACCGGCCACAUUGGGACUGAGCUACGGCCCAGACUCCUACGGGAGGCAGCAGUGGGGAAUAGUGCAUAAUGGGCGGAAGCCUGAUGCAGCAACGCCGCGUGCGGGAUGACGGCCUUCGGGUUGUAAACCGCUUUCGCCUGUGACGAAGCGUGAGUGACGGUAAUGGGUAAAGAAGCACCGGCUAACUCCGUG